This 413-nucleotide unclassified non-coding RNA is filed under the name fungal sp. Its description in RNAcentral is "partial internal transcribed spacer region". The stretch from base 1 to 46 matches the Rfam family "Eukaryotic small subunit ribosomal RNA", at positions 1786 to 1831 of the family's 1831-position model. Lineage: Eukaryota; Fungi. The record is from RNAcentral.
AAGUCGUAACAAGGUAACCGUAGGUGAACCUGCGGUUGGAUCAUUACCAAAAUGGGUGUGUUGAAAAUUAAUCUUUUUUUUCACCCAUUCAAUAUGCAAAAUUAGGGGGGAUGGAUAAAAAUCAUUCCCCUUCUUUUUGACACCUUUUGUGAACCUAUUUUAAACACCCUGUAUUUGGCAGUUUGGCGAAACUGUAACAAGACGCCUAUAAAAGCGGGCUGCCAAAACACCACUUUAAAAAAACACCUAUUAUUUUUUCUUUUUAACUUUUUAAGUGUUCUGGCUUCGUUUUUUCUCAAAGGACCCCCCCCCCUAUUUUUUAAAUAUAACAGGGGCCCUAAAGAGUUCUUCCGAGACCAUGAUAAUUAACCUAAAUUAAAAAACAACUUUUGACAACGGAUCUCUUGGCUCUU